This 253-nucleotide ribosomal RNA is filed under the name uncultured bacterium. RNAcentral describes it as "partial 16S ribosomal RNA". It matches the Rfam family "Bacterial small subunit ribosomal RNA", at positions 524 to 776 of the family's 1533-position model. The record is from RNAcentral.
UACGGAGGGUGCAAGCGUUACUCGGAAUUACUGGGCGUACAGCGCACGCAGGCGGUCUGUCAAGUCCGAUGUGAAAUCCCCGGGCUCAACCUGGGAACUGCAUUCGAAACUGGCAGGCUAGAGUCUUGUAGAGGGGGGUAGAAUUCCAGGUGUAGCGGUGAAAUGCGUAGAGAUCCGGAGGAACACCAAAGGCGAAGGCAGUGUCCUGGGGAGUACCUGACGCUCAGGUGCGAAAGCCAGGGGAGCGAACGGG